AUUGAACGCUGGCGGCAUGCUUUACACAUGCAAGUCGAACGGUAACAGGUUAAGCUGACGAGUGGCGAACGGGUGAGUAAUGCAUCGGAACGUGCCCGGUCGUGGGGGAUAACGCAGCGAAAGCUGCGCUAAUACCGCAUACGAUCUAAGGAUGAAAGCGGGGGACCGUAAGGCCUCGCGCGAUCGGAGCGGCCGAUGUCAGAUUAGGUAGUUGGUGGGGUAAAGGCUCACCAAGCCAACGAUCUGUAGUUGGUCUGGGAGGACGACCAGCCAACCUGGGACUGGGACACGGCCCAGACUCCUACGGGGGGCAGCAGUGGGGAAUUUUGGACAAUGGGCGAAAGCCUGAUCCAGCAAUGCCGCGUGCAGGAAGAAGGCCUUCGGGUUGUAAACUGCUUUUGUACGGAGCGAAAAGGUCUCCUCUAAUACAGGGGGCUCAUGACGGUACCGUAAGAAUAAGCACCGGCUAACUACGUGCCAGCCGCCGCGGUAA
This 493-nucleotide ribosomal RNA is filed under the name uncultured bacterium. RNAcentral describes it as "partial 16S ribosomal RNA". It matches the Rfam family "Bacterial small subunit ribosomal RNA", at positions 29 to 523 of the family's 1533-position model. The record is from RNAcentral.